Molecule: ribosomal RNA, 248 nt
Filed under: uncultured Glomus
Lineage: Eukaryota; Fungi; Glomeromycota; Glomeromycetes; Glomerales; Glomeraceae
Description: partial 18S ribosomal RNA
Rfam family: Eukaryotic small subunit ribosomal RNA
Source: RNAcentral
AGCAGCCGCGGUAAUUCCAGCUCCAAUAGCGUAUAUUAAAGUUGUUGCAGUUAAGAAGCUCGUAGUUGAAUUUCGGGAUUGACACAUCGGUCGUGCCUUAAGGGGUAUGAACUGGUGUAGUCAAUUUCUCACCUUCUGGAGAACCGCGAUGCCCUUAAUUGGGUGUCGCGGGGAACCAGGACCUUUACUUUGAAAAAAUUGAGUGUUUAAAGCAGGCAUUUUGCUUGAAUACAUUAGCAUGGAAUAAA